GAAGCUCUUUGAUCUUCUUAUGAAGCUGAGCAGCCAGACUCUGCUCAUCCUCCACUUUUGACUGAAGCUGCACCAACUCAAAGUCUUUCCUUUAGAGAAGGGGGAAGAGAGAGAAAAGCAUCGAUGGUCCCGCACUGAGUCCAUGGACAGCUUCAGAUCCCCCUCUAAUUUCCGUUUGGUUCGUUCCAGAUCGGUCCGCACCUUCUUCUCCAGCUCCAGCGAAGUCUCAACCUGCACAUGAGUUAGAAACCAGUAAUAACAGUAGAGAACAUUACAGGUCUUUUCUGGACCAGUGCGUGCUAAACAAGCUUUCAAAAGUUGGUUGCAGAAAUUCUGAAAGUGCCAAAAUCUGCCAAAAGCCCAAACCUGUGAUGUCCACUUGAAGCUGGCUCCAAAACCAGGGUCAUCUCCAGGUCAUCCACGUCUCUCUUCAGCGAUAACACCUCGUCCUCCAGCUGACGCUUCUUGGACGUCAGCGUGGAGCUCACCUCCUCCUCGUCCUCCAGGCGCUCCUGCAUCUCCUUCAGCUUUG
Molecule: long non-coding RNA, 532 nt
Organism: Oreochromis aureus
Lineage: Eukaryota; Metazoa; Chordata; Actinopteri; Cichliformes; Cichlidae
Exons: 3
Source: RefSeq, a predicted model, not a curated record